UUUGGCGUUCCCUUCAUGGAGACCAGUGCUAAAUCAGGCCUGAAUGUGGAGUUGGCCUUCACUGCUGUGGCCAAGGAACUGAAGCACAGGGAGAUGAAGGAGCCUAACGAGCCAAAGUUUCAGCUGCAGGAGUAUGUUAACAAGGAGAUGAAGGGAGUCGGCUGCUGUCGCUCCUAAACCCCCCUCUCUCUCUGUUUGUGUGUUUUUCCACUUUCAUCCUCUUCUCUCGCAUAAAUUGGAUGCCUGUCAGAUAUUCUGCGGCUCUGGAGACUUUCAUUUUCAAAUGCUGUGCUCGUUCUUUGGACCUCCAUGCACUUCACAGCUCACAAACAAUAGCGAAUGACACGAAGCAAACAGAGAAGCAGUCAUCAGAAUGCGAUUGGCACGUCCUUAAAUAUUUGCACCCCCAAUAAACACAGACCCACCUCUCCGAGCAGCUGUGAAUGUAUGUUCAACACUCAUGAAGUUUG
Molecule: long non-coding RNA, 470 nt
Organism: Sinocyclocheilus grahami
Lineage: Eukaryota; Metazoa; Chordata; Actinopteri; Cypriniformes; Cyprinidae
Exons: 2
Source: RefSeq, a predicted model, not a curated record